AGAGUUUGAUCCUGGCUCAGAUUGAACGCUGGCGGCAGGCCUAACACAUGCAAGUCGGACGGUAGCACAGAGAGCUUGCUCUUGGGUGACGAGUGGCGGACGGGUGAGUAAUGUCUGGGGAUCUGCCCGAUAGAGGGGGAUAACCACUGGAAACGGUGGCUAAUACCGCAUAACGUCGCAAGACCAAAGAGGGGGACCUUCGGGCCUCUCACUAUCGGAUGAACCCAGAUGGGAUUAGCUAGUAGGCGGGGUAAUGGCCCACCUAGGCGACGAUCCCUAGCUGGUCUGAGAGGAUGACCAGCCACACUGGAACUGAGACACGGUCCAGACUCCUACGGGAGGCAGCAGUGGGGAAUAUUGCACAAUGGGCGCAAGCCUGAUGCAGCCAUGCCGCGUGUAUGAAGAAGGCCUUCGGGUUGUAAAGUACUUUCAGCGGGGAGGAAGGCGAUGCGGUUAAUAACCGCAUCGAUUGACGUUACCCGCAGAAGAAGCACCGGCUAACUCCGUGCCAGCAGCCGCGGUCAUAAGGGCGAAUUCCACAGUG
This 544-nucleotide ribosomal RNA is filed under the name uncultured endophytic bacterium. RNAcentral's name for it is "bacterial SSU rRNA". It matches the Rfam family "Bacterial small subunit ribosomal RNA", at positions 8 to 540 of the family's 1533-position model. The record is from RNAcentral.